Molecule: non-coding RNA, 73 nt
Organism: Gymnogyps californianus (California condor)
Lineage: Eukaryota; Metazoa; Chordata; Aves; Accipitriformes; Cathartidae
Source: the annotation of a RefSeq genome assembly
ACCUGGCUAGCUCAGUUGGUAGAGCAUGAAACUCUUAAUCUCAGGGAUGUGGGUUCAUGCCCCACAUUGGGUG